RNAcentral lists this ribosomal RNA (464 nucleotides) under Vreelandella stevensii. Its description in RNAcentral is "partial 16S ribosomal RNA". It matches the Rfam family "Bacterial small subunit ribosomal RNA", at positions 338 to 795 of the family's 1533-position model. Lineage: Bacteria; Pseudomonadati; Pseudomonadota; Gammaproteobacteria; Oceanospirillales; Halomonadaceae. The record is from RNAcentral.
CCUACGGGUGGCUGCAGUGGGGAAUAUUGGACAAUGGGCGAAAGCCUGAUCCAGCCAUGCCGCGUGUGUGAAGAAGGCCUUCGGGUUGUAAGCACUUUCAGUGGGGAAGAAAGCCUUGGGGCUAAUACCCUCGAGGAAGGACAUCACCCACAGAAGAAGCACCGGCUAACUCCGUGCCAGCAGCCGCGGUAAUACGGAGGGUGCGAGCGUUAAUCGGAAUUACUGGGCGUAAAGCGCGCGUAGGCGGUCUGAUAAGCCGGUUGUGAAAGCCCCGGGCUCAACCUGGGAACGGCAUCCGGAACUGUCAGGCUAGAGUGCAGGAGAGGAAGGUAGAAUUCCCGGUGUAGCGGUGAAAUGCGUAGAGAUCGGGAGGAAUACCAGUGGCGAAGGCGGCCUUCUGGACUGACACUGACGCAGAGGUGCGAAAGCGUGGGUAGCAAACAGGAUUAGAUACCCGAGUAGUC